RNAcentral lists this transfer RNA (74 nucleotides) under Mus musculus (house mouse). It matches the Rfam family "tRNA". From Rfam's summary of the family: Transfer RNA (tRNA) molecules are approximately 80 nucleotides in length. Their secondary structure includes four short double-helical elements and three loops (D, anti-codon, and T loops). Lineage: Eukaryota; Metazoa; Chordata; Mammalia; Rodentia; Muridae. The record is from Rfam by way of RNAcentral.
GGGGAUGUAGCUUAGUGGAAGAAAGCACUGGGCUAGUAUACCGGAGGCCAUGGGUUUAAGUCACAGUGCCUCCU